RNAcentral lists this ribosomal RNA (300 nucleotides) under uncultured Actinoplanes sp. RNAcentral describes it as "bacterial SSU rRNA". It matches the Rfam family "Bacterial small subunit ribosomal RNA", at positions 115 to 416 of the family's 1533-position model. Lineage: Bacteria; Bacillati; Actinomycetota; Actinomycetes; Micromonosporales; Micromonosporaceae. The record is from RNAcentral.
ACGUGAGUAACCUGCCCUGGACUUUGGGAUAACCCUCGGAAACGGGGGCUAAUACCGGAUACGACACACCGAUGCAUGUCGUGUGUGUGGAAAGUUUUUCGGUCUGGGAUGGGCUCGCGGCCUAUCAGCUUGUUGGUGGGGUGAUGGCCUACCAAGGCGACGACGGGUAGCCGGCCUGAGAGGGCGACCGGCCACACUGGGACUGAGACACGGCCCAGACUCCUACGGGAGGCAGCAGUGGGGAAUAUUGCACAAUGGGCGGAAGCCUGAUGCAGCGACGCCGCGUGAGGGAUGACGGCC